UACAGAGGGUGCAAGCGUUAAUCGGAAUUACUGGGCGUAAAGCGUGCGUAGUCGGCUUUUCAAGUCGGAUGUGAAAGCCCCGGGCUCAACCUGGGAAUUGCAUUCGAUACUGGAUAGCUAGAGUUCGGCAGAGGGAAGUGGAAUUUCUGGUGUAGCGGUGAAAUGCGUAGAUAUCAGAAGGAACAUCAGUGGCGAAGGCGACUUCCUGGACCAGAACUGACGAUCAGGCACGAAAGCGUGGGGAGCAAACAGG
RNAcentral lists this ribosomal RNA (253 nucleotides) under uncultured bacterium. RNAcentral describes it as "partial 16S ribosomal RNA". It matches the Rfam family "Bacterial small subunit ribosomal RNA", at positions 524 to 776 of the family's 1533-position model. The record is from RNAcentral.